RNAcentral lists this ribosomal RNA (243 nucleotides) under Acrapex kavumba. RNAcentral describes it as "partial 16S ribosomal RNA". The stretch from base 111 to 243 matches the Rfam family "Bacterial large subunit ribosomal RNA", at positions 2473 to 2606 of the family's 2925-position model. Lineage: Eukaryota; Metazoa; Arthropoda; Insecta; Lepidoptera; Noctuidae. The record is from RNAcentral.
UUUAUUUUAUUGGGGUGAUAGAAAAAUAAAUAAAACUUUUUUUAAAAUAAAACAUUUAUAAGUGAUUAAAUGAUCCAAUAAUAUUGAUUAUAAGAAAAAAUUACCUUAGGGAUAACAGCGUAAUUUUUUUUUUUAGUUCAAAUAAGAAAAAGAGUUUGCGACCUCGAUGUUGGAUUAAGAUAAAAUUUGAAUGCAGAAGUUUAAAAUUUUGAUCUGUUCGAUCAUUAAAAUCUUACAUGAUCU